This 146-nucleotide signal recognition particle RNA is filed under the name Homo sapiens (human). Its description in RNAcentral is "Metazoan signal recognition particle RNA". It matches the Rfam family "Metazoan signal recognition particle RNA". From Rfam's summary of the family: The signal recognition particle (SRP) is a universally conserved ribonucleoprotein. It is involved in the co-translational targeting of proteins to membranes. The eukaryotic SRP consists of a 300-nucleotide 7S RNA and six proteins: SRPs 72, 68, 54, 19, 14, and 9. The record is from Rfam by way of RNAcentral. Lineage: Eukaryota; Metazoa; Chordata; Mammalia; Primates; Hominidae.
GCCAGGCAUGGUGGUGCAUACUUGUAGUCCCAGCUACUCAGGAGGCUGAGGUGGGAGAAUUGCUUGAGCCCAGGAGCUCAAGGCUGCAGUGAGCUGUGAUCUCCACUGCGCUCUAGCCUGGGCAACAGAGCAAGACCCUGUCUCAA